UGGAGGAUAAAAAGUUCGAUUAUUCAAGUUUAUAUACUUCCGAAACUUUUCGGAGCCUGUCAAAAUACGACGAAUUCCCUUACAUCGAAUUUUUUCCCUUCUCACAGUUCUGCGAAAAAACCUUUUAGUUUUUUAUUAUUUUUUUUUUUGGAUCCUCUCAAUAUUUAUCUUUCACUUCGUGACGAGAAAUAAGAAAAUUGUGACCGAAAAAACAAACAUAACCUCUUUUGAUCCACAACCGUUUUUAUUUACUUUUGUUUUUUUCUGUUCGCGUAAUGGUUCCGUGAGAAUUAUUUUCCUUCUGCGAUCAAUUAGGCGUAGAUGUUUUCGUCACUCUUAGAGUUUUUGGACUAAAGAGAGAAAAACAUCGGUAUAAAAUGAGUUACCAUAAAGGUGGUGGUAGUAAACCUAAAGGCUUCGGAUUUACGAGCUUUCAAAUGGCCGGGACGAAACGUACUGGCGUUAAUAUUCCUCCACCCACUGCCAACAGUUCGGUACUCAGUAAACAAGGAUAUCACACAAUGAAUUCCAUAACGGAGAAUGCUUUGGCCGCAUGUUGGGGUGUUCCUAAAAAACGGAGCAAAACUGAAGAAGAAUAUUUUGAGGAUGAUGACGAAGCUCAAACCUCGGCAUUGGAAUACAUACCUGCACCUGGCUCCCCAACUUAUGAAUUAAUGAAGAAAAAUGAAGCAAAACAAGACAGCGACAGUGAAGAAGAUCCCUUGGAUGCUUUCAUGGCUGGCAUUGAGGCAGAGGUAAAAAAAAGUUCUAACGCACCUCGACACGAAGAAGUACAAAAGGAAGAAAAGUCCAAAGGUUUCCGGGCUGACAUAGACGGAGAGGAUGACGAAGAAAGUUACUAUAGGUACAUGGAAGAAAAUCCCACUGCGGGAUUGCAGCAAGAAGAUUCCGAUCAGGAGAUUGAGUAUGACGAUGAUGGGAAUCCGAUUGCACCACCAAAGAAAAAGGACAUAGAUCCAUUGCCACCGAUAGACCACAGCGAGAUUCAAUAUGACUCGUUUGAAAAAAAUUUCUACAACGUCCACGAGGAAAUAUCGAAUCUCGACAAGCAUCAAGUUCAAGAAUUGCGCAACACCCUUGGAAUCAAAGUUUCUGGUGCUUCGGUACCGAAUCCCGUCACCAGUUUUGGACACUUUGGUUUCGACGAUCCUCUCAUUAAAACGAUACGGAAAAACGAAUACACACAACCGACACCGAUUCAAGCUCAGGCUGUUCCUACAGCUCUCAGCGGACGUGACUUAAUAGGUAUCGCCAAAACCGGAAGCGGAAAAACUGCUGCUUUCAUUUGGCCGAUGUUAGUUCAUAUCAUGGAUCAAAAAGAACUCAAAGCUGGUGAUGGUCCAAUCGGAUUGAUUCUUGCACCUACGAGAGAACUUUCGCAACAGAUCUAUCAAGAAGCUAAGAAAUUCGGAAAAGUUUACAAUAUCCAAGUCUGCUGUUGCUACGGUGGUGGGAGUAAAUGGGAACAGAGCAAAGCUCUCGAGGGUGGAGCCGAAAUCGUCGUUGCUACGCCGGGACGGAUGAUCGACCUUGUUAAAAUGAAGGCCACGAAUCUUGCUCGCGUUACGUUUCUAGUACUUGACGAAGCUGACAGAAUGUUCGAUAUGGGUUUUGAGCCACAAGUUCGGUCAAUCUGCAAUCACGUUCGACCGGAUCGACAAACCCUUUUAUUCAGUGCGACCUUCAAAAAACGCGUCGAGAAAUUAGCCAGAGACGUGUUGACCGACCCCGUGAGAAUCGUUCACGGAGACGUGGGUGAAGCGAAUACAGAUGUGACGCAACACGUGAUAGUCUUUCACAAUAAUCCAAUCGGAAAAUGGUCGUGGCUGUUGCACAAUAUUGUCGAAUAUCUUAGCGCCGGUAGUUUGCUUAUAUUUGUCACGAAAAAGCUGAACGCAGAAGAGCUGGCGAACAAUUUGAAACUCAAGGAAUUCGACGUGAUGCUUUUGCACGGUGAUAUGGAUCAGAUUGAGAGAAACAAAGUUAUUACGGCGUUCAAGCGAAAGGACGUCAGUAUAUUGGUCGCGACUGACGUAGCAGCACGCGGUCUGGAUAUCCCUCACAUUAGAACCGUGAUUAAUUACGACGUGGCGCGAGACAUAGACACGCACACACAUCGAAUAGGACGAACGGGUCGAGCAGGCGAGAAAGGCACAGCUUACACUCUCGUAACGGAGAAAGACAAAGAAUUCGCCGGUCAUUUGGUGAGGAACCUCGAGGGUGCGAAUCAAGAAGUACCUAAAGGAUUGCUGGAUUUGGCGAUGCAGAGUUCGUGGUUCCGGAAAUCGAGAUUCAAAGGCGGGAAGGGCAAAAGUUUGAACGUCGGAGGCGCCGGACUCGGAUUUCGGGGACGAAAUGAAAACCAUUCGGCGCAGGUCGGCGGAACUUCCUCGCAAGCUCCUAAGGACAUAAGCGAAGUCGUGAAAAAACUGGAGAGACAGGGACCCGGCAGUGAUCGAUUGUCGGCCAUGAAAGCUGCCUUUAGAAGCCAGUACAGUUCUCAGUUUCGAGCGUCGUCGGAUCACACAUGGGAACAAACGAUACAACCGCCUUCGGUGAUAAUGCCUCCACCGCCUCCGCCUUCGGGCUCGGAUCAGACUUCCGGAGAAUCGGAGACGAAUCCAGCGCCACAAAAUUCGGAGGCUGCGGUAUCGGAAAAGAGUGAGCGAAAGAGAGUGAGGAAAAGCAGAUGGGAGUGAUGGAAAGGACCAAUGAGAGCCGUGAAUUGUACUUGUAAACCCGUCGAUGUUUUUUCUUCAAUCGAUUUGUUUUUUAUGAAUUCGAGGAACGAAAAAAGACACUUCGAUGAAUCUUGAAGAAAAUUUUAAUACAGUUUUUGAUCGCAGCGAUAAUUUUCCCGGAAGUUUUAUAAAAUCCAUUGGAAGAAAAAAAGCGAAAAUAUAUCGAACGAGAAUCGAUCUCGUUGCUGCGCAAUUGAGCGAUGAUGAUAAAUCGUCGCUGUUCGCGGCUUAAGCCGCGACGAAGGAGAACAGCAUCCAGUAAUUAGUCGGCUAACGUUUUUCUCCACCAUCGUCCGUUGUGUUUUUUGCCUCAAUUUUGUUUUUAUUCAUUGACAAACGGGACGUUAAUUAAUGCCAAGACUCGGGAGCUUUGGAGAAUAUUAUGAAUAAUUUUGCCUCCCCGAUACGAUCUUAUUUCGCUCUCAGGAUAUAUUAAUUGCGCAUUUUAUCGUUAUUUACGAAAUUUCUCUUUCAUAUUUUCAUUCCAAUUCCCAAUUCCGUUACACUUCGACUCGGAAUUAUUGAAAAAAACCCUUUUUAUUUUCUUCCCUUUCGAUUGUUCUUCCGUUCCAAACAUUUAUCUUCACUCCGAAUCGCGAAAACAUGAUUCUUCAUUUUUAUUCAAUUUUCUCGUUUAUUCGAUGGUCACAAAGCGUUAGCAUACUAAUUAGGGCGCCGCUGUUCUCCCGGACUGUUCCAAAAUCCUGGCCCUUCAGCACCUCGCACGAGGCGAACAAAUAAUUUCUGAGGAAGAAAAAAUAAUGACAAAAACUAAAAUACGAUAAAUAUUAUAAUCUUAAAUAGUAACGGGGCUUCGAUCGAGACGCGAUCUCGAAAUCGAUCGAUGCAAAUACGAGAUAACGCCCUCGCUGAAAUCCUCCGUAAAGCGUUCCCGAAUCGGUAAUCGCUAAUCGCAAUUGCAAAUACAUUUUAUAUAUAUAUAGGUAGAUUUAUAUUUAUAGAAAUCGAUGACAGCGAGGCUCGAUUUAUUCAAGACUAAUUGCAUUCGCGUGACACGUAUCAAUGAUCAUAAAUAUCUCUACAAAUCGAGCGACAUUAUGUUAUGAACGUUUUCUAUAUUUUUUCGUUUUUCCAUCCUUUUUACCAUCAUCAAUUCUUUCCUGGAACUGUCAUUGAACACACGUCAUUUUUCGAACGGAUUUUUUUUCCCCUUCGAUCAUUCGUUUCCUCGGACUUUCAUCGCUGGCUGGUUUUGUUAUCGAAAUUUCGUAAUUGCCCAACGAUUUUUUAUCCCAAAAUGAAAACUCUUUUGCCAAUUGAUUUCAGAGCAAGUUUUCGGGCCAGUUUUUCAUUAGUUUCAUUUUUUUAGCUCAAGCUUUCGAUUGCGUUGGUAACGAGGACGAAAAAAACAAAGGCUGCGCGAGACGAUCGCCGCUCUCCUCGCUUCUCAUUCGCAGUGAUUCACGAGUGCAAUUAUUUCCAAAAAUGGUCGUGCGACCCUGAAACUACAUUUUUUUAUCGCGCAGAAUCAAGUAUUAUU
RNAcentral lists this unclassified non-coding RNA (4263 nucleotides) under Venturia canescens. RNAcentral's name for it is "aTP-dependent RNA helicase DDX42, transcript variant X1". The record is from RNAcentral. Lineage: Eukaryota; Metazoa; Arthropoda; Insecta; Hymenoptera; Ichneumonidae.